UACGUAGGCAGCGAGCGUUGUUCGGAGUUACUGGGCGUAAAGAGUGCGUAGGCGGUUUGCUAAGUCUGGUGUGAAAUCUCCCGGCUCAACUGGGAGGGUGCGCCGGAAACUAGCGGACUAGAGUGUGGGAGAGGCAAGCGGAAUUCCUGGUGUAGCGGUGAAAUGCGUAGAUAUCAGGAGGAACACCUGCGGUGUAGACGGCUUGCUGGACCACGACUGACGCUGAGGCACGAAAGCGUGGGGAGCAAACAGG
RNAcentral lists this ribosomal RNA (253 nucleotides) under uncultured bacterium. Its description in RNAcentral is "partial 16S ribosomal RNA". It matches the Rfam family "Bacterial small subunit ribosomal RNA", at positions 524 to 776 of the family's 1533-position model. The record is from RNAcentral.